This 70-nucleotide transfer RNA is filed under the name Orycteropus afer (aardvark). RNAcentral describes it as "tRNA-Val". It matches the Rfam family "tRNA". Rfam says of the family: Transfer RNA (tRNA) molecules are approximately 80 nucleotides in length. Their secondary structure includes four short double-helical elements and three loops (D, anti-codon, and T loops). The record is from RNAcentral. RNAcentral also lists the same sequence under 1 other name. Lineage: Eukaryota; Metazoa; Chordata; Mammalia; Tubulidentata; Orycteropodidae.
CAAAGUGUAGCUUAAACAUAAAGCAUCUGGCCUACACCCAGAAGAUUUCAAUAACCAAUGACCACUUUGA